RNAcentral lists this ribosomal RNA (503 nucleotides) under uncultured bacterium. Its description in RNAcentral is "bacterial SSU rRNA". It matches the Rfam family "Bacterial small subunit ribosomal RNA", at positions 15 to 507 of the family's 1533-position model. The record is from RNAcentral.
GAUCAUGGCUCAGGAUGAACGCUAGCUACAGGCUUAACACAUGCAAGUCGAGGGGCAGCAGGGAUUUAGCUUGCUAAAUCCGCUGGCGACCGGCGCACGGGUGCGUAACGCGUAUCCAACUUUCCCGUUACUCAGGGAUAGCCUUCCGAAAGGGAGAUUAAUACCUGAUGGUGUUUGAAGUUCGCAUGUUCUUCAAACUAAAGAUUUAUCGGUAACGGAUAGGGAUGCGUGACAUUAGAUAGUAGGCGGGGUAACGGCCCACCUAGUCUACGAUGUCUAGGGGUUCUGAGAGGAAGGUCCCCCACACUGGAACUGAGACACGGUCCAGACUCCUACGGGAGGCAGCAGUGAGGAAUAUUGGUCAAUGGCCGGAAGGCUGAACCAGCCAAGUAGCGUGAAGGAUGAAGGUUCUAUGGAUUGUAAACUUCUUUUAUAUAGGAAUAAAACCUCCCACGUGUGGGAGCUUGUAUGUACUAUAUGAAUAAGCAUCGGCUAACUCCGUG